RNAcentral lists this ribosomal RNA (254 nucleotides) under uncultured bacterium. Its description in RNAcentral is "partial 16S ribosomal RNA". It matches the Rfam family "Bacterial small subunit ribosomal RNA", at positions 524 to 776 of the family's 1533-position model. The record is from RNAcentral.
UACGUAGGGAGCAAGCGUUGUCCGGAAUCAUUGGGCGUAAAGCGCGCGUAGGCGGCCUCAUAAGUCCGUUGUGAAAGUCAAAGGCUCAACCUUUGAAAGCCGAUGGAUACUGUGAGGCUAGAGUCCGGAAGAGGCGAGUGGAAUUCCUGGUGUAGCGGUGGAAAUGCGCAGAUAUCAGGAGGAACACCGGUGGCGAAGGCGGUUCUCUGGGCAUUACCUGACGCUGAGGAGCGAAAGUGUGGGGAGCGAACAGG